UCCGCCAGGGGACUACGAGCGCUAGCUUAAAACCCAAAGGACUUGACGGUGUCUCACCUCCACCUAGAGGAGCCUGUUCUAGAACCGAUAUUCCUCGUUUAACCUCACCAUCCCUUGCCCCCGCCGCCUAUAUACCGCCGUCGCAAGCUUACCCUAUGAAGGCCCCACAGUAAGCACAAUGGGCACAGCCCAAAACGUCAGGUCGAGGUGUAGCUUACGAGAUGGAAAGAAAUGGGCUACAUUUUCUACAACAGAAUAUUACGAACUGCACUAUGAAACAAGUGCCCGAAGGUGGAUUUAGCAGUAAAAA
RNAcentral lists this ribosomal RNA (310 nucleotides) under Alestopetersius caudalis (yellowtail tetra). Its description in RNAcentral is "partial 12S ribosomal RNA". It matches the Rfam family "Bacterial small subunit ribosomal RNA", at positions 868 to 1344 of the family's 1533-position model. The record is from RNAcentral. Lineage: Eukaryota; Metazoa; Chordata; Actinopteri; Characiformes; Alestidae.